GCAAACUUGGUCAUUUAGAGGAAGUAAAAGUCGUAACAAGGUUUCCGUAGGUGAACCUGCGGAAGGAUCAUUGCCGAACGGACGCGCGCCGUCUCCGCCCGCCUCGCUUCCGCGAGUGGCGGCCGGCCGCGUCUUAUCGCACACCCAUGUGAACUCGUGAUCGUGACCCUGGACGGCGGCGACUCGCCGCCGAUCCGGCUCCCUUCCACACAACCAACCACUGUAUCCCACUUGUCUGAGACAAAACACAAGGCAGAGGCACGCCUCAAAAACGCGCUCUCUCGCCGCAAGACACCAAACUAUCACAACUUUUAACAACGGAUAUCUUGGCUCGCGCAUCGAUGAAGAACGCAGC
This 355-nucleotide unclassified non-coding RNA is filed under the name uncultured fungus. RNAcentral describes it as "partial contains small subunit ribosomal RNA, internal transcribed spacer 1, and 5.8S ribosomal RNA". The stretch from base 1 to 73 matches the Rfam family "Eukaryotic small subunit ribosomal RNA", at positions 1759 to 1831 of the family's 1831-position model. The record is from RNAcentral. Lineage: Eukaryota; Fungi.